UCAAGCAAGGGGUUAUUCGAC
This 21-nucleotide non-coding RNA is filed under the name Arabidopsis thaliana (thale cress). The record is from RNAcentral. Lineage: Eukaryota; Viridiplantae; Streptophyta; Magnoliopsida; Brassicales; Brassicaceae.